UAUAUCUUGGUGUAAUUGCACAAGAAACUUUGAUUUUCUAGGAGUUGGAUCUAUACCAGCAGAGAUAG
Molecule: transfer RNA, 68 nt
Filed under: Strahlaxius plectrorhynchus
Lineage: Eukaryota; Metazoa; Arthropoda; Malacostraca; Decapoda; Strahlaxiidae
Description: tRNA-Gln
Source: RNAcentral